RNAcentral lists this ribosomal RNA (253 nucleotides) under uncultured bacterium. RNAcentral describes it as "partial 16S ribosomal RNA". It matches the Rfam family "Bacterial small subunit ribosomal RNA", at positions 524 to 776 of the family's 1533-position model. The record is from RNAcentral.
UACGGAGGGUGCAAGCGUUAUCCGGAUUUAUUGGGUUUAAAGGGUCCGUAGGCGGAUCCGUAAGUCAGUGGUGAAAUCUCACAGCUUAACUGUGAAACUGCCAUUGAUACUGCAGGUCUUGAGUAAGGUAGAAGUGGCUGGAAUAAGUAGUGUAGCGGUGAAAUGCAUAGAUAUUACUUAGAACACCAAUUGCGAAGGCAGGUCACUAUGUCUUAACUGACGCUGAUGGACGAAAGCGUGGGGAGCGAACAGG